UUGGAUAUUAAUCUGACUGGGUUGGCUGGUGCACCUAAAUAAUACAUAUAUCCUCCUCAACCCCAUCGGUCUCUCUGAUUCCUAAAUCAUCCCCAAACAUUUCUGGUGGCCCAUAUGGGGAUUGGAGAUAACAGAUUUACUGUCUCCUUUGCCCAUGGGACUAGGGCCCUGGGGCUGUGGAAGACCUGGCAUCCAAGGCAUGCCAUGGGGGAGUUUCACCCGGAUGGAGACUGGCUCUCCCCGCAUCCUGCCCAGCAGUGCAACUGAACCUGAGAUGGGGCUGCAGGAUGACACCAGCACUUCAGGAACCGCGUUGCAGGUGUCACACCUUGGAUUCACCAUAGCUGGCUGAAACUAGCAGCAGCAGUGACUCCCGACUAUGACCAGUGGAUUAACCAACAAGACCCUGAUUGCCCCACCCGAAUAGACCUACGGCGAAUCCCAACCACCAGUAAGAAGGACAACUGCCCUGCUCUGACCACACUGGAGGCUGGUCAGUCUACACAUGGCUGAAGCUUGAAGAUCUUGCAAGCUCUGCUCUAGUCACAUCCUGGAAGCUGACUAGUCUACACACAGCCGAAGCUAAGAGGACCAUCUCUAGAUAACCCAAAGAUAAGAAUGAAGAGACACUAAACCUCUGAUUUUUGCAUUCUAAAGAGAAUUGUCAACAAGGACUAAGUGAAGCAUCUCUCUCCAGGUUUGUGAAAAGGUGUCAGAGCCAGAGGAGAAGAGUGGACAACCCAACUGCCCACCACAGGUCCCUAGAAGUACAGGUCAAGCCUAUGCUGGGGAGAGGCAAACAGUUUCCUGGUACAUAGCCGCUAAAACCCCUGGAAUUU
Molecule: long non-coding RNA, 839 nt
Filed under: Homo sapiens (human)
Lineage: Eukaryota; Metazoa; Chordata; Mammalia; Primates; Hominidae
Description: non-protein coding lnc-REXO5-1:1
Source: RNAcentral